GCUCUAUAUAAACAGGGCAGCCAAAGGGAGGAGGACCACAAGGCUCAGGGACUGAAAAGCAGGGUAAGCGGCCGCAGCCAUGAUGGAUCGACCCGAGUCGCCAACGGAAUUUUGAGAGACAUGCGGAAUGUAGUCUGGACAAGUGAAGGAGUUUAUCCUCAUAAAGCAAAACGAAAUGUCACAGUUAUAUGCCUCUGAAUGCAGAUUUGGAGAAUAUCAAAGGCAGCUUACCAGAGAGGAAAAUAUGCGACCUGCCAGGACCUGAAGGAAGAACUUAGAGAAAGCAGAGCCAUUAAUACUCAGGAAAUGGGAAGUUGUCGAUCAUGUUGAACAGUGGAGCGGAACAAAUAGAAAUUAGAACAUAUUUCUGAACUGAGUUCACCAAUAAAGCAAAGCUGUAUAUAUCUUCUGCACAUGUAAGGUUUUUUUUUUUUUUCUUUCCCCGUCUAUAAAAUUAGAAUCAAAGAAGGAAGCAAUUCCAAG
This is a long non-coding RNA of Lynx canadensis (Canada lynx), 483 nucleotides long. RefSeq lists it as uncharacterized. Lineage: Eukaryota; Metazoa; Chordata; Mammalia; Carnivora; Felidae. The record is from RefSeq and is a predicted model, not a curated record. The transcript is spliced from 3 exons.